AACGAACGCUGGCGGCAUGCCUAACACAUGCAAGUCGAACGAGACCUUCGGUUCUAGUGGCGCACGGGUGCGUAACGCGUGGGAACCUGCCCUUAGGUUCGGAAUAACUCCCCGAAAGGGGUGCUAAUACCUGAUAAUUUCUUCGGACCAAAGAUUUAUCGCCUUUGGAUGGGCCCGCGUUGGAUUAGCUAGUUGGUAGGGUAAAAGCCUACCAAGGCGACGAUCCAUAGCUGGUCUGAGAGGAUGAUCAGCCACACUGGGACUGAGACACGGCCCAGACUCCUACGGGAGGCAGCAGUGGGGAAUAUUGGACAAUGGGCGAAAGCCUGAUCCAGCAAUGCCGCGUGAGUGAUGAAGGCCUUAGGGUUGUAAAGCUCUUUUACCCGGGAUGAUAAUGACAGUACCGGGAGAAUAAGCGCCGGCUAACUCCGUG
This 433-nucleotide ribosomal RNA is filed under the name uncultured bacterium. Its description in RNAcentral is "partial 16S ribosomal RNA". It matches the Rfam family "Bacterial small subunit ribosomal RNA", at positions 29 to 507 of the family's 1533-position model. The record is from RNAcentral.